GAUGAACGCUGGCGGCGUGCUUAACACAUGCAAGUCGAGCGAAGCGCUUUGGUUAGAUUCUUCGGAUGAAGACCUUUGUGACUGAGCGGCGGACGGGUGAGUAACGCGUGGGUAACCUGCCUCAUACAGGGGGAUAACAGUUAGAAAUGACUGCUAAUACCGCAUAAGACCACAGUACCGCAUGGUACAGGGGGUAAAAACUCCGGUGGUGUGAGAUGGACCCGCGUUGGAUUAGCCAGUUGGCAGGGUAACGCCUACCAAAGCGACGAUCCAUAGCCGGACUGAGAGGUUGGCCGGCACAUUGGGACUGAGACACGGGCCCAGGACUCCUACGGGAGGCAGCAGUGGGGAAUA
RNAcentral lists this ribosomal RNA (354 nucleotides) under uncultured bacterium. RNAcentral's name for it is "bacterial SSU rRNA". It matches the Rfam family "Bacterial small subunit ribosomal RNA", at positions 28 to 363 of the family's 1533-position model. The record is from RNAcentral.